UCGAACGGAACGCCAAGGAAAGAGUUUUCGGACAAUGGAAUUGGUUGUUUAGUGGCGGACGGGUGAGUAACGCGUGAGUAACCUGCCUUGGAGUGGGGAAUAACACAGUGAAAACUGUGCUAAUACCGCAUGACAUAUUGGUGUCGCAUGGCACUGAUAUCAAAGAUUUAUCGCUCUGAGAUGGACUCGCGUCUGAUUAGAUAGUUGGCGGGGUAACGGCCCACCAAGUCGACGAUCAGUAGCCGGACUGAGAGGUUGGCCGGCCACAUUGGGACUGAGACACGGCCCAGACUCCUACGGGAGGCAGCAGUGGGGAAUAUUGGGCAAUGGGCGCAGGCCUGACCCAGCAACGCCGCGUGAAGGAAGAAGGCUUUCGGGUUGUAAACU
RNAcentral lists this ribosomal RNA (387 nucleotides) under uncultured bacterium. Its description in RNAcentral is "bacterial SSU rRNA". It matches the Rfam family "Bacterial small subunit ribosomal RNA", at positions 62 to 431 of the family's 1533-position model. The record is from RNAcentral.